AGUCGUAUACGGUACACAAAACACGAUUUGCCACUGCCUGUCGCUGCUGCACAUCCACCUUUCAAUAGUUACCCCAAUGGAGGCUUUCUAUGAACAUCACACUGCGAAGUAAGCACUGAUCAGUGAUCGUCGGCAAAUCAUGACGCUCUCAAAGCUCAACCACAUAUUUUUUCUUUUCUUUUCUUUUCUUUUCUUUUCUGUUCAUCCUCUACUGAAGGUUGAUCACUAUGCUGUUUAAGCUCGACACUUCAAAAUCAGCUGGGCACACACAAAAAACAAAAGGGACGCUUGGGGAGAGAGAGAGAGAGA
Molecule: small RNA, 309 nt
Filed under: Histoplasma capsulatum var. duboisii H88
Lineage: Eukaryota; Fungi; Ascomycota; Eurotiomycetes; Onygenales; Ajellomycetaceae
Description: Histoplasma capsulatum H88 hypothetical RNA
Source: RNAcentral